GGAAUAGAGCUGCAAUGUCGCGCUCAAGAUUCACCUCGGCAAGAGUUUUGCUUGGUUGCGCUGAUCUAUAGACAGGGUGACUUGGCACGCUUGUUCUUGUCGGGUGCACUUCUUGGGUGUGAGCACUGCGUCAGGUAUCUGUGGUGGUUGGUGACUGAAUAUCGUGGCCAGACCCAGUCGGUAACUGGUACCCGUUUUCAUGUCUCCAUCUGGUUGCAGAAACCAUAUAAUCUUUGCGAUAGCAUGUCUCAGACUGUGGUGUAAGGCGUCAACAGACAAGCUGGUAUCCUGCUUGCAGGUUGCGGCAAAACUUGACGUUCAUACAGUGCUGAUCUGAAAAAUCGCAGAGUCAGCAGUGUUGUGCCAGCCACCUAUUCCACCCGUCUUGAAACACGGACCAAGAAGUCUAACAUGUGCGCAAGUCAUUGGUCUGUAAAGACCAAAGGCGAAAUGAAAAUAAGCUUCUUCGGAAGUUAAGCAGGAUCCUUGCUUUUGCAAGGCGCACUGCUGUCCCGCCUUAUAUGCAUAGUCAUUUAGGCGGAGAAAGAGCGCACAUGUUAGGACCCGAAAGAUGGUGACCUAUACCAGAGCAGGGCGAAGCCAGAGGAAACUCUGGUGGAGGUCCGUAGCGAUUCUGACGUGCAAAUCGAUCGUCAGACU
RNAcentral lists this ribosomal RNA (660 nucleotides) under Oxystomina sp. BAUK9. Its description in RNAcentral is "eukaryotic LSU rRNA". It matches the Rfam family "Eukaryotic large subunit ribosomal RNA", at positions 420 to 911 of the family's 3401-position model. Lineage: Eukaryota; Metazoa; Nematoda; Enoplea; Enoplida; Oxystominidae. The record is from RNAcentral.